Molecule: ribosomal RNA, 322 nt
Filed under: uncultured eukaryote
Lineage: Eukaryota
Description: partial 18S ribosomal RNA
Rfam family: Eukaryotic small subunit ribosomal RNA
Source: RNAcentral
CCCUUAGAUGUUCUGGGCCGCACGCGUGCUACACUGAGUGGAUCAGCGGGUCAGGUUGCGCGAAAGUGUUUCCUAAUCUUUAAAUCCGCUCGUGAUGGGGAUUGACGGUUGCAAUUUUCCGUCAUGAACGAGGAAUACCUUGUAAGCGCGGGUCAUCAUCCCGCGCUGAAUACGUCCCUGCCCUUUGUACACACCGCUCGUCGCUCCUACCGAUUGAGUGGUCCGGUGAGGCUUUGGGAUCUGAGCGGAAAGAGCGUUUCGCUGUUUCUGCCCGGAAAACUCAGUCGAACCUUAUCAUUUAGAGGAAGGAGAAGUCGUAACA